CAGGGGGAGACAGAGGCCGCUGGGACCAGCAGCCCUCGGGCUUCCGCGUCGCGUGGAGGUUGGCCGAGAGGAGUUUCGGUUCCUCGGCAGCUCGUGGGUCUCCAGGGCCGCCUGCGCUCGCGGUGACGUCAUCGGCACGGGCGGUCUGGUCUUGACCCGGAAGAUCCACAGACCUGCAGCUUUUCUGUUUCUGAUCAUUUGGCAACAGAUUUUGAUAAUUUGAUCAAUUCAGCAGAGUCCUGCAGCGACACAGGGGUCACACUAAAAGCUCUCUCUUCUACUGAGCAAACUGCAGUCUGUCUGGACUCUACGGUCAGUCUGUCCUGUCUCUCUCCCAGUCUGAUCAGUGAGAAUCCCUCCUGUCUCUCUCCCAGUCUGAUCCGUCAGGAAUCUUCACAGACAGGUCUUCCUCUCCCAGAGUACAGUAACUUGUAAGUCCUCCAGUUUACAUCACAAACUAGAUUAAAUGUCCAGGUGGGUGCAGCUCCAUAUUGCUGUUACUGUCUGCAGUUCAGAACGAGGCAACAAAUCGUCCUGGGAUGUGUUGAGGCCCUGUGACACUGUGAACAGGCAGGCUUGUGAGAACCUCUCUUUCAGUCCAAUAGAAAUACUGCUCUCGACUUCGGGACGGUUGUGCAGAUAAACACUUCUUACUUGUGAACUCUGCUUGCAGAGCACGUUGGAACGUUUCUGCAGUGAAACGUCUGAAGCACAGCCUGGCCUUAUUCGCUCGUAAUUCACGGUACAGUGACUUAAGGAGCAGGAAAGGCCGUGUCAUGUCACAGUUUGUGCAACAUGACGACCGUCAACCACUCUCACAAAGUUCACGGUUUCGAGCUCAUUUCGAAAUUUGUCCAGUUCGUCUGUCCUGUCAAUGAGCUGGGACUGCAGUUCCCCUUCGCAGCGCCUCACUCCAAACGCCUCGACCGCAGGCCUGCUGACGCCACCAGCUGGCUGCUUCUGGAACUGGCCAGCGGCAGAGCUGGUCGUUUGAACCAUUACGGCUGGUGGGGAGACGAUCCAUCCCAGGUUUUACUAAAACCUCCAGCGCUCUUAUGCAAGAGAUAAACUGGUUACUGGCCCGUUCAGCAUGGCUGCAUUGUUUUGAAUGAUUUUCCAUUGUGAGAUACAGACUUAAAACACAUCUACACCAUGUCAU
Non-coding RNA from Lepisosteus oculatus (spotted gar), 1159 nucleotides. Lineage: Eukaryota; Metazoa; Chordata; Actinopteri; Semionotiformes; Lepisosteidae. The record is from RefSeq and is a predicted model, not a curated record.